Molecule: long non-coding RNA, 3592 nt
Filed under: Hordeum vulgare
Lineage: Eukaryota; Viridiplantae; Streptophyta; Magnoliopsida; Poales; Poaceae
Description: long non-coding RNA (HVUL_LNC016653)
Source: RNAcentral
UAUAUAUAGUCAUCAUAUGCAUCAUGCAUCCUAAUUAAUUGAUCAUGUCAAGUAAUAAUAUAAAUUAGAAUAACUUGUCUCUCAUAAGACCUAGUCCUCACUCUUACAUAUAAUGUCAUAAAACAGAAUAACACCUCUGGCUCCAUGAUGAAUCACAGAGAUCCAACGGUCUCCAGCUUGUGGCUUGCGAACCUUCUUUAUUUCUCUCCAUGCUUCAAUUUGGAGUCUUUUUUAUCUUGAUUUGAAGUUAAUCAAGUAUGGAGCAUAGAACUCGGCCCUCAGCGGGCUUCUAAUUCUCAUUUGACCUUCUGGGUCCAUUAACGGAGGCACUACAUCAUGUGGCAGUUGCUGUUGAAGAACAUAAUAAUAACCUAGUUAGCAAUGUAAUCAACACCAUUUAUGCAAUAGUGGAGCGUACUUAAUUAGGAAACUCUUACCAAGACAUUUCGGCGAAUGUCAUCUGGACUCAACCUAUGCACUAGUGGCAUGUAAAAUGAAUAAUUUUGGCCAAUUGCAAAAUGAUACGGGAAGGUAUCCCUAGAAGCCAGAACACCAGCAACAAGAAAGUGGAGAAGAUGGUCCUUCUCCUCCCAAGUUAGAUGUGAUCCAUACGUGUAGUGUGUCGUGUCAAUUAAUUUUCGGAAUUCAGUCGAAGCAGCGAAAUAAGCUGUAAAUUAUAAUUUAACAAAUUUAGUAUAUAGAUGAACACCAACUAUUUCUAAAUAUAAAUGCAAAUUACUUCACAUGGAGGUAAAACAGGAAGCAUAUCAUCGACAACCACCCAAAUUUUGUAAUAAUUUAAUGUUUCAAAAAUACUUAGAAAUUUUGUAAUUGUCCACAAGAUGUGGGCAUUAUAUAAACCAUUCAAAACGACCACAUGUGCUACGAUCAUUCAAAGGACAAUUUGGGUUGUUAUUGUUGUUUGUACAACAUGUAACAUGAUAUAAUUAUAACUAUGGCCUAAUAACUAGGAACCUGCAACGUGUGGCCAAAGUUUUAAUAGACGAUGAACACCACAUGACAUGUAAAUUACGAGAGGAAACUCGUCUGUUACAAAAGGAUUUCAUUUUUUUGAACUUAUUUGAACUCCAUAGUUUUUCUGUGUUCAAAAUGCACCAUUCAAAGCCACAUCACCAAUUUACAACCCUUUCUGACUUCAUUUGUUAUUUUUCAUGCAUUUACUGAUUAUUUUGAGCUAUAAGACCAUGAAAUUGAAAAGCAUUUGAAAUGAACUCUGAAAAGGUUCCAAGUUGGCAUGAUAUCAUCAUUUCACCCACAUAGCAUGUGCGAGAAAGUUGAGAGGGUUACGGCCAAAACUGGAUGCACUUCGUGUACAAAACGGACAAUCUCUUUCGAAGUAUCAGGGUUUCAUACGGAAACUCGUGUGUUACAAAGGGAUUUCAUUUUUUUGAACUUAUUUGAACUCCAUAGUUUUUCUGUGUUCAAAAUGCACCAUUCAAAGCCACAUCAUCAAUUUACAACCCUUUCUAACUUCAUUUGUUAUUUUUCAUGCAUUUACUGAUUAUUUUGAGCUAUAAGACCAUGAAAUUGAAAAGCCUGCCCCACUAGCUCAGUGGGAGGGGGGUCAAUCCAAACAACCCAAUCACACUCAUUAGGAAGCUGUUAAAUCAGUGUUCACAUAAUUAGGUGAAAUUCAUAACUUUGCAAUAAAUCGAUGAAAACAGAGUACCAAAUGAUGUUUUGAGGAAAUACAUCGAGUGGACAACCCAAAAACCUUCUUCCCAUGCUUGCUCCACCCCAAGAAACACGGCGAGCAGGAAUUAGCCCAUGCCACGGGAAACGGUGAUUCGAGCGCUCCUCAAGGCCGUAGAAACUUGGAUUGGGAAUGAAAAAUUCGGAUUGGAACUGCACAGUCCCGCAGUCAUCCACCUACGAGCUAGAAAGGCGCAUAUUACAGCCCAUCCCAUGAAACCCUAGAUGAGAAAUCCCCAAAUCCAAUGUCAACCGAAAAUCCAAAUCGACUUACCUCACUGUCUGCGGAGGAGCUUGCACACGACAUUGCGGACGUACACAUGGACGUGCCCCAGCGGUGAAAACGGGGACGGGGCGUGACGGACCGCUAAAUCUAGACAAAUCUCGGGAAAAAUGGAGCUCCGAGGUCAAGCUUCGAGAGGAGAAAGCUUAACUAGUGUGGCUCGGGCAUUUCAUCGAACACCUCAUGUGCAUAGGAGUUAAGCUAGAGCACCCAAAUGCCCUCCCCUCGCCGGCCAGAAAAAAACAGAGUGCUCUGCCGCGGCGAUGGGUAUAUAUAGGCAAAUUAUUUGUCCCGGUUCGUGGCAUAAACCGGGGCUAAAGCCCCCCUUCUAAACCGGUUCAAGGCAUGAACCGGUACCAAUGGAUGUGGGCCAGGAGCGCGGCCCAUUGGUCCCGGUUCGUGCCUAGAACUGGGACAAAUGGGUCCACACAAACCGGGACCAAUGCCCACGAGGCCCCAGCCGGCCCCCUGGGUCCAUGAACCGGGAGUAAUGCCCCCCAUGGGUCCCGGUUCGUGAAGAACCGGAACUAAUGGGCUGGCCAGGCCCGAACCAAAGCCCUAUUUUCUACUAGUGCUCCUUAUAUUUUUUUUCCUGGUCAUUAACUAACUUCCUAUUAUUUUAUAUAAGCCAUCUCUAGCACUCAACUCAAUAGUAUUUCUCUUGGAUCAAAUUUCCCUCCCAUUCACUCCCUCGUGUUUUUUAUGAUCUCCUUUUGUGUGGUCAAGCCAUUGUUAUUGAAUCGAACCAGAUGAGCCAAACUAUCCGUGGAUUUUGUUCUAUUUCUGGACAAAUCCCUACAUGGAGCAAAUCUAGAAUCAUUUUAAGAUGUGUUGUUCUUGUUCACAUAAAAGUUGCAAUCAAACAAGUUCUUUAAGAGAAAAACCAUCAAGUAGGUGUUGACUGAAGAGUAUGAACCUGCAUACAAGAUCAAUACAAGCAAAAGAGCAAGAGAAACAUGAACAAGCCCUUUAGUUUGUUACACUAUUGCACGAUGCUCAAAGGAAAUGAGAAGCAAGCAAGAAGAAAGGAAACAACAUCAAGGAAGAUGCAUCUCAUCUUCCGUUAGUCUCAAGGAGGAUGGUGAUGGUGAACAUGAGAGGGGGGAGAAGUGCCACCCUAGCUCCAUGUGGAUCGAUGAAAGAGAAAGCUAUGAAACAAUAUGGAGUUCGCAAGAUGAAAUAAUAACUCAAAUAAACAAAAGAGAAAAAGAUGGAGCCGGCCCUCGAACGAAAGUAAGAGGAAAUAGAGCAGAAGUUGAAGCUCGAGACUAAAAGGAAAUAAAUAAGAAGAACGAGCAAGAGGAACCAAUCAUGUUUAUGGAGGCUAGUGAGAUGGAUUAGACCAGAGAACACUAUAGGGACUUGGGAGCUUGCUCGUGGACAAAUCUUGGCUUUGAAAAUGCCAAUUCAAUGUCCUAUAGUAGUAGAAGUGGUAGUGACCAGUGGCGGAGCUUGGGCUGAAUUUAUGUAGGAGCAAGAAACAUGACUAUAGCCUGAUUUUAGGUGGACAUAUGGGCUGAAUGCUAGGGGAUAUAUGCUAGCUUUCUCAUAGGCUGGGGGUGAGGGCUCAUGUUGCUCUCCACUAAGCUCCGCCUA